UCCCUCGAGCCGGAUUUGAACCAGCAACCUAAGGAUCACUGUUGUAACAUCUACAGUCCUCCGCUCUGCCAACUGAGCUAUCGAGAG
RNAcentral lists this transfer RNA (87 nucleotides) under Cordylochernes scorpioides. RNAcentral's name for it is "tRNA-Tyr". The record is from RNAcentral. Lineage: Eukaryota; Metazoa; Arthropoda; Arachnida; Pseudoscorpiones; Chernetidae.